CNUGGGAACUGCGUUCUGAACUGGGUGACUAGAGUGUNUCAGAGGGAGGUAGAAUUCCACGUGUAGCAGUGAAAUGCGUAGAGAUGUGGAGGAAUACCGAUGGCGAAGGCAGCCUCCUGGGAUAACACUGACGUUCAUGCCCGAAAGCGUGGGUAGCAAACAGGAUUAGAUACCCUGGUAGUCCACGCCCUAAACGAUGUCGAUUAGCUGUUGGGCAGCAUGACUGCUUAGUAGCGAAGCUAACGCGUGAAAUCGACCGCCUGGGGAGUACGGUCGCAAGAUUAAAACUCAAAGGAAUUGACGGGGACCCGCACAAGCGGUGGAUGAUGUGGAUUAAUUCGAUGCAACGCGAAGAACCUUACCUGGUCUUGACAUGUACGGAAUCCUCCAGAGACGGAGGAGCGCCUUCGGGAGCCGUAACACAGGUGCUGCAUGGCUGUCGUCAGCUCGUGUCGUGAGAUGUUGGGUUAAGUCCCGCAACGAGCGCAACCCUUGUCAUUAGUUGCCAUCAUUAAGUUGGGCACUCUAAUGAGACUGCCGGUGACAAGCCGGAGGAAGGUGGGGAUGACGUCAAGUCCUCAUGGCCCUUAUGACCAGGGCUUCACACGUCAUACAAUGGUCGGUACAGAGGGUAGCCAAGCCGCGAGGCGGAGCCAAUCUCACAAAACCGAUCGUAGUCCGGAUUGCACUCUGCAACUCGAGUGCAUGAAGUCGGAAUCGCUAGUAAUCGCAGGUCAGCAUACUGCGGUGAAUACGUUCCCGGGUCUUGUACACACC
RNAcentral lists this ribosomal RNA (777 nucleotides) under uncultured bacterium. Its description in RNAcentral is "bacterial SSU rRNA". It matches the Rfam family "Bacterial small subunit ribosomal RNA", at positions 613 to 1391 of the family's 1533-position model. The record is from RNAcentral.